This 468-nucleotide ribosomal RNA is filed under the name uncultured bacterium. RNAcentral's name for it is "partial 16S ribosomal RNA". It matches the Rfam family "Bacterial small subunit ribosomal RNA", at positions 28 to 507 of the family's 1533-position model. The record is from RNAcentral.
GACGAACGCUGGCGGCGUGCUUAACACAUGCAAGUCGAACGGAAAGGCCCUGCUUUUGUGGGGUGCUCGAGUGGCGAACGGGUGAGUAACACGUGAGUAACCUGCCCUUGACUUUGGGAUAACUUCAGGAAACUGGGGCUAAUACCGGAUAGGAGCUCCUGCUGCAUGGUGGGGGUUGGAAAGUUUCGGCGGUUGGGGAUGGACUCGCGGCUUAUCAGCUUGUUGGUGGGGUAGUGGCUUACCAAGGCUUUGACGGGUAGCUGGCCUGAGAGGGUGACCGGCCACAUUGGGACUGAGAUACGGCCCAGACGCCUACGGGAGGCAGCAGUGGGGAAUAUUGCACAAUGGGCGGAAGCCUGAUGCAGCAACGCCGCGUGCGGGAUGACGGCCUUCGGGUUGUAAACCGCUUUCGCCUGUGACGAAGCGUGAGUGACGGUAAUGGGUAAAGAAGCACCGGCUAACUACGUG